GAAAACUUGUUUGCCAAACCCAACCUCACGGAAACUGGGCGGGGCGGGGCAAAGCGGCUGGAGAAGGAAACAGCAACCCACUCCAGUAUUCUUGCUUGAAAAAUCCCACGGACAGAGGAGCUUGCCGGGUUACACUCCAUGGGGUCGCAAAGAGUCGGACACAACUGGAGAGACUUAGCACGCGCGCAGGGCAAGGCGGGCUUGAAAGCCUGUUUAACGGGUGCCCUUCAGACUCUGAGAGAAGAGACUGGCUUCAGCCAGGUCACUCGGGAAACAGCGGCAAAGGCGGAACUAACACCUGGCUUUCCUGCUUAAUAAAUCGCGGGGACAGAGAUGGAGGGAUGUGUCAUAGGGUAGCAUUUAAGUUAGUGCUCGGCGUCCCCAGAGCCCUCCUGACGCCCUCCCAAUCUAAGGAUCUGGUCACGGAACAGUUGUGUCCAAGUCCCCAUUUCACAGAUGGAAACAUUGAGGCCCUGUAUGUUCCAGGGACAUCUAGGGAGAGAUCUCCCAAAGUGUACAAGCUUCUGGCCUCACAGAACCUGGAUCUGGUCCUGAAGUCAAUGAUGGAAGAGUUUUAGUGCCACAAAGGCCUUGAGACCAGUCUUCUUGCAGAGACAUCUUAAGUUGGGUUUUAAAGAGAGGACCCAGGACUUCCCUGGAAGUCCAGUGGUUAAGAAUCUGCCUGCAAAUGCAGGGGACCAGGUUUGAUCCCUGGUCCGGGAAGAUUCCACAUGGCAAGGGGCAGCUAAGCCCCUGUGCCACAACUACUGAGCCCUUGAACCUAGAGCCCUUGUUCUGCAACAAGACACCCCAAUGAGAACCCCAUGCAUUGCAACUAGAGAGUAGCCCCCACUCACUGCAACUAGAAAAAGCCCUCACAGCAAUGAAGACCCAGUGCAGCCAAAAAUAAAACUUUAAAAAAGAGAGGACCCAGUUGAGGAAGCAAACCAUAAAGACUGUGAGGCAAUUCCCUGACACAUCUGGACACACUGUUUCACAUGCUUACAGAAUCAUUGUUGGAGGAGCUCUCGUGACUGCCAAUUGACCCUUGAGCUGGAGUUGGGCAAUCAGAGGCAGCUCACCCCUCCCGUGUCCUUGGAAUGUAGUCUGCCCAUGAUUCCUCCAGUGGGACCUAUUUCAAGCAUGCAGCCUUGAGAGGGCAACAUGUUGUUGAGACCACCUGGAUGGUUUAGGUGACUGAACCUACUUAAGGCCUCAUAGAAACUUGGAGAUUCUGGUGGACAGCUGCAGAGAUCUACUCUUCUUCACCAUGACAAGCCUUGUGUGUAAGUUCCCUUGCUUUAAAAAAAAAAACAAAAAAAACAAAAAACUUUUUUAGCCACACUCCAUGGCAUGGAGCAUUAAACUUGUACCCCUUGCACUGGAAGGCUUAGUCUAAACCACUGGAUGUCUGGGAAGUUCCCGUUGCUUAUUAAACCUGCCACCUUCCAAUUUAGAGUGGUUGCCUCUUCUUCAUUCUGGGGGUCUUUGCCUCCAGUUGACAAAUCAACGUUGGUGGCAAGCCGACCAGGAGACCGAAGAAAUGGACCUUGGCAAAGAAGCACCUGCAUGGGAAAUCUUGGGACACGCAGGCUGGUCCAGUGAGCUUGUUUGAGGAACCACGCAGGGUGAACCACUGCAAAGGCGGGAGACGAAUAUCCUGGAGUGGGCUGUAAAGAUGGUAAAAGUAA
Long non-coding RNA from Bubalus bubalis (water buffalo), 1691 nucleotides. RefSeq lists it as uncharacterized. The record is from RefSeq and is a predicted model, not a curated record. The transcript is spliced from 2 exons. NCBI's taxonomy places the organism in Eukaryota, Metazoa, Chordata, Mammalia, Artiodactyla, Bovidae.